RNAcentral lists this ribosomal RNA (502 nucleotides) under uncultured bacterium. RNAcentral's name for it is "partial 16S ribosomal RNA". It matches the Rfam family "Bacterial small subunit ribosomal RNA", at positions 28 to 507 of the family's 1533-position model. The record is from RNAcentral.
GACGAACGCUGGCGGCGUGCCUAAUACAUGCAAGUCGAACGAACCGCGACUAAGUGCUUGCACUAAGUCAAGGUGAGUGGCGAACGGGUGAGUAACACGUGGGUAACCUACCUCAUAGUGGGGGACAACAGUCGGAAACGACUGCUAAUACCGCAUAGGACAUAGGAUCACAUGAUCCAGUGAGGAAAGGUGGCGCAAGCUAUCGCUAAGAGAUGGACCCGCGGUGCAUUAGCUAGUUGGUAGGGUAAAGGCCUACCAAGGCGAUGAUGCAUAGCCGACCUGAGAGGGUGAUCGGCCACAUUGGGACUGAGACACGGCCCAAACUCCUACGGGAGGCAGCAGUAGGGAAUCUUCCGCAAUGGACGCAAGUCUGACGGAGCAACGCCGCGUGAGUGAAGAAGGUCUUCGGAUCGUAAAGCUCUGUUGUUAGAGAAGAACAGCGCAUAGAGUAACUGCUAUGCGUGUGACGGUAUCUAACCAGAAAGCCACGGCUAACUACGUG